Molecule: long non-coding RNA, 432 nt
Filed under: Monodelphis domestica (gray short-tailed opossum)
Lineage: Eukaryota; Metazoa; Chordata; Mammalia; Didelphimorphia; Didelphidae
Description: lncRNA (ENSMODG00000050130.1)
Source: RNAcentral
CACAGUAUGGACAAUAUCACCCAGACAAAACUGGGCCACAUGAAGCAAGAGGAGAAGCCAAGCAGAUGGGGGAAUUAAGAGCAGGGCUCAAAGAGAAACUGGUAAUAAUUGUGAGUGGAAAUUUCUCUGUGGUCUAUUCCUCUUAAGAAAUUUGGCUUUUCUGAUCAGAGCAAGGAAUCAGCAAAGAAGGACCUAGCACAGUGCCUGGAACAAGCAGAGGCUCAACUAAUGCUCACUGGCACAGUUGGGAAGACCUGUGUUCAAGUGGGAACUCAUUAUCCAUGGGACCUUAGGACAGUCAUUUAAUUGUUUCAAAUUUGGUCCUAUCACCCAGGCUCCAACAAAGUCCUAGUUCUCCUGCCUAUAAAAUAAGGAUUAUAAAAGCUUCUGCUUCCUAUGAUUGUUAUGAGGAUUAAAUGAGACAACAUAUCU